AAAUAUAGAACAUCUGUGUGUGACAGUACUGACAGUUGCCAUUUAUUAUUCUCGUUUUGCACUCCUGGAUAGCCUUCAAAAAAUUGUCUACUAGGUUGUAAGGAUCCAUCUUGUGUAAAUAUGAAGCCACUUUCUUGUUGAAAUC
Molecule: long non-coding RNA, 145 nt
Organism: Etheostoma spectabile (orangethroat darter)
Lineage: Eukaryota; Metazoa; Chordata; Actinopteri; Perciformes; Percidae
Exons: 3
Source: RefSeq, a predicted model, not a curated record